AGAGUUUGAUCCUGGCUCAGGACGAACGCUGGCGGCGUGCUUAACACAUGCAAGUCGAGCGAUGAAACUUCCUUCGGGGAGUGGAUUAGCGGCGGACGGGUGAGUAACACGUGGGUAACCUGCCUCAAAGUGGGGGAUAGCCUUCCGAAAGGAAGAUUAAUACCGCAUAAUAUAAGAGAAUCGCAUGAUUUUCUUAUCAAAGAUUUAUUGCUUUGAGAUGGACCCGCGGCGCAUUAGCUAGUUGGUAAGGUAACGGCUUACCAAGGCAACGAUGCGUAGCCGACCUGAGAGGGUGAUCGGCCACAUUGGAACUGAGACACGGUCCAGACUCCUACGGGAGGCAGCAGUGGGGAAUAUUGCGCAAUGGGGGAAACCCUGACGCAGCAACGCCGCGUGGGUGAUGAAGGUCUUCGGAUUGUAAAGCCCUGUUUUCUAGGACGAUAAUGACGGUACUAGAGGAGGAAGCCACGGCUAACUACGUGCCAGCAGCCGCGGUAAUACGUAGGUGGCGAGCGUUGUCCGGAUUUACUGGGCGUAAAGGGUGCGUAGGCGGAUGUUUAAGUGGGAUGUGAAAUCCCCGGGCUUAACCUGGGGGCUGCAUUCCAAACUGGAUAUCUAGAGUGCAGGAGAGGAAAGCGGAAUUCCUAGUGUAGCGGUGAAAUGCGUAGAGAUUAGGAAGAACACCAGUGGCGAAGGCGGCUUUCUGGACUGUAACUGACGCUGAGGCACGAAAGCGUGGGUAGCAAACAGGAUUAGAUACCCUGGUAGUCCACGCCGUAAACGAUGGAUACUAGGUGUAGGGGGUAUCAACUCCCCCUGUGCCGCAGUUAACACAAUAAGUAUCCCGCCUGGGGAGUACGGUCGCAAGAUUAAAACUCAAAGGAAUUGACGGGGGCCCGCACAAGCAGCGGAGCAUGUGGUUUAAUUCGAAGCAACGCGAAGAACCUUACCUGGACUUGACAUCCCUUGCAUAGCCUAGAGAUAGGUGAAGCCCUUCGGGGCAAGGAGACAGGUGGUGCAUGGUUGUCGUCAGCUCGUGUCGUGAGAUGUUAGGUUAAGUCCUGCAACGAGCGCAACCCUUGUUAUUAGUUGCUACCAUUAAGUUGAGCACUCUAAUGAGACUGCCUGGGUAACCAGGAGGAAGGUGGGGAUGACGUCAAAUCAUCAUGCCCCUUAUGUCCAGGGCUACACACGUGCUACAAUGGUAGGUACAAUAAGACGCAAGACCGUGAGGUGGAGCAAAACUUAUAAAACCUAUCUCAGUUCGGAUUGUAGGCUGCAACUCGCCUACAUGAAGCUGGAGUUGCUAGUAAUCGCGAAUCAGAAUGUCGCGGUGAAUACGUUCCCGGGCCUUGUACACACCGCCCGUCACACCAUGAGAGCUGGUAACACCCGAAGUCCGUGAGGUAACCGUAAGGAGCCAGCGGCCGAAGGUGGGAUUAGUGAUUGGGGUGAAGUCGUAACAAGGUAGCCGUAGGAGAACCUGCGGCUGGAUCACCU
RNAcentral lists this ribosomal RNA (1500 nucleotides) under Clostridium botulinum. RNAcentral's name for it is "bacterial SSU rRNA". It matches the Rfam family "Bacterial small subunit ribosomal RNA". The record is from RNAcentral. Lineage: Bacteria; Bacillati; Bacillota; Clostridia; Eubacteriales; Clostridiaceae.